Molecule: ribosomal RNA, 254 nt
Filed under: uncultured bacterium
Lineage: Bacteria
Description: partial 16S ribosomal RNA
Rfam family: Bacterial small subunit ribosomal RNA
Source: RNAcentral
UACGUAGGGUGCGAGCGUGUCCGGAAUUAUUGGGCGUAAAGAGCUCGUAGGCGGUGUGUCACGUCGAUCGUGAAAACUUGGGGCUUAACUCUGAGCUUGCGGUCGAUACGGGGCAUCACUGGAGUUCGGCAGGGGAGACUGGAAUUCCUGGUGUAGCGGUGAAAUGCGCAGAUAUCAGGAGGAACACCGGUGGCGAAGGCGGGUCUCUGGGCCGAUACUGACGCUGAGGAGCGAAAGCGUGGGGAGCGAACAGG